This 244-nucleotide ribosomal RNA is filed under the name uncultured bacterium. RNAcentral describes it as "partial 16S ribosomal RNA". It matches the Rfam family "Bacterial small subunit ribosomal RNA", at positions 531 to 774 of the family's 1533-position model. The record is from RNAcentral.
GUGGCAAGCGUUGUCCGGAUUUAUUGGGCGUAAAGCGAGUGCAGGCGGCUCAAUAAGUCUGAUGUGAAAACCUUCGGCUCAACCCGGGAAUUGCAUCAGAAACUGUUGAACUUGAGUGCAGAAGAGGAGAGUGGAACUGCAUGUGUAGCGGUGGAAUGCGUAGAUAUAUGGAAGAACACCAGUGGCGAAGGCGGCUCUCUGGUCUGCAACUGACGCUGAGGCUCGAAAGCAUGGGUAGCGAACA